GUAAAAAAAAUAAAAUAUAUCCAAGAACACUAUGAUGGAAACUGAGAACUCAGCAUCCAACAAGCUCAAACUCCUCCACCGUUCCUAAUCCUCCACCGUUCCUAAUCCUCCGCCGUCGAAGAAGCUCAAACUCUCCUUCAAUCUCUCGUUUCCGUCGAAGAAGCUCGUUUCCGUUCCUAAUCCUCCUUCGUCGAAGAAGCUCGCAACUCUCGUUUCCGUUCACGAUUCCAAUCUCAGUUUUUGUAUCUGCAUUAAAAUGGCUUUUCAAAUAAAAAGGGAUUUUCUAUUCCAAAUAUUCUUGUUCCUCAGUAUGUUAAUGGCUGGUCAGAGUACCGAUACUGAUAUCUUGUGUUUAAAAUCCAUUAAGAAUUCCUUGGAAGACCCAAACAAUUACUUUCAAAAUUGGAACUUCAACAACAAAACUGAAGGUUUCAUAUGUUGGUUUAAUGGUGUUGAAUUAGGGAUUCACUAGCCAAAAAGGAUUCUUUAAGACCUAAAAUUGUGAAGUUGCACCCAAUUUGCGUGACUUUAACAAUGGUUGUGCUUUCUACAUAUAGUGUAUUUGAUUGAUCACCCGAGAGCAGUCGAUGCUUGCGAAUGGUACCAACACGUGUUGGGAGCUGUCGUUUUAUCCGAAAGUUUCAGCACUACAGGAGUGCCUGGUAAUAUAGCUAUGAUACAACAUCGUUACAUGAGGUUAGGCGAUGGACAGCGACGCACUAUUAUUGAGCUCCAAGAUAGUAUCCGACCUCGCACCGAGCAAUCAGACCGUCAUGGCUUUACUUCUCUGUAUUCUAAUGGGCCUAACCUAUUGCAUGAUAGAUUCAUCAACGGAUUAGGAGCGAACCAAGGAACAAGUUUAAUGAUAAACCGACAUGAGCAGUUAUUUUUGUCUAAGAUCAGGGAUCCUUUUGGUUUUCACUGGUUUGUGAAAACAGCGGAUCCAAAUCUCAUGUUACCACCAGCAUAGUGAUUUGGUUGCAUGGACUACAUCGACAUGGUCAUUGCCCGACUACAACAAUUAUGCAGAUUAUCACAAUACUUAGGGAUAGCUAUACACCACAUUUCUGUGAAGCAUGCGCCAACAGAAAGCACCUUCCGCAGCCCAAAAAGCACACACUGCAAUCCAGAAAGGGCCCUCUACGGUCCAGAAAGCACAACCGAUUAAGCCUGCAACGUCGGUUCAGGCACCACCUUCUCAGGCUGCAACACCGGUUCAGACGCCACCGCCAAUCCAGACUACUGCUGCUGAGGCUUCCAGAUUCAUUCCUACCCCAGGAUUGACAUUGCCUCAUCAAUUUGAGCAAGGUCCUCUCCAACACACAACUCAUGAUAUGGAAACUGAUUGUCAUCAUCAAGACGAUGAGCAAGAGCAUGAAGGGGGGGACCAACAAGAGGAUGAGGAGGGGGACAUCGAAGAGGAUGGGGAAAAAGACAACCAUGAAAAAGAUGCUUGUGGGAAAUUCAUCAUACGUCCCAUUGGUACAGGGCCGAAUAUCAUGAAAAUUUGGCCAAAGUGACACAAACUGAUGGUGGUGCUACUCGUGACACUCAAGAGGUUGAUGGAUCGCAAAGAAUUCAAAUAUGGAAAGAUGUUUCCAAGGGUAAGUCUCGGGGAAGAUGUUAUGGUACUGGACACUUGGCUAAAAACCUUAAGUAUAAAAACUUGAUUUAAGAGGCAAAGGCACCUCACAAUAGGGCAGAGAACCAGAUCAUUGAAGCUGCUAGAGCCGAGGCUGCUGCAGCACGUGCAGAUGCUGAGGCUGCUAGAGCUGAGGUUGCUGCAGCACGUGCAGAUGCUGAUGCUGCUAGAGCCGAGGCUGCUGCGUCAACUGCGAGAACCAGAUCAUUGGAAAUAAAGUUUGAAGAAUUCCAAAGCCGCGUGAUGGCUUUGGAGACGGCCUCCUGUAGUGGUCAUUCUCGUCAGAGUUCUCAUCCUCAUUAUGAUAAUGAAUUGGAUGAUCAAUCGGUUGAUGAAGAGGAAGAUGCUUGAUUUUGUUGGUUGUAGACUUUGGGUUAUUUUGAUGGUAAGUUUAAGAGCUAUUUUGAUAGGUUAUAUAUUUUGUGGGAUAUUUUGGUGGGUCAUAUAUUUUGUGGGUUGUUAUUUUGAUGGAUGUAGACCUUUUUGUUGACAUUCUAUAUAUAUGGUUAUAUAUGAGAAA
Molecule: RNA transcript, 2162 nt
Organism: Trifolium pratense (red clover)
Lineage: Eukaryota; Viridiplantae; Streptophyta; Magnoliopsida; Fabales; Fabaceae
Exons: 5
Source: RefSeq, a predicted model, not a curated record